AUUCCUACGGGAGGCAGCAGUCGAGAAUAAUUCACAAUGGGGGCAACCCUGAUGGUGCAACGCCGCGUGAAGGAUGACGGUCUUCGGAUUGUAAACUCCUGUCAUCCGGGAGUAAGACCUGGCGGUUAACAGCCGACAGGGUUGAUAGUACCGGAAGAGGAAGGGACGGCUAACUUCGUGCCAGCAGCCGCGGUAAUACGAAGGUCCCGAGCGUUGUUCGGAAUCACUGGGCGUAAAGGGAGCGUAGGCGGCGCGGUAAGUCAGAUGUGAAAUCCCGGGGCUCAACCCCGGAACUGCAUCCGAUACUGCCGUGCUAGAGGAUUGGAGAGGUAGCUGGAAUUCUUGGUGUAGCAGUGAAAUGCGUGGAUAUCAAGAGGAACACUCGUGGCGAAAGCGAGCUACUGGACAACUCCUGACGCUGAGGCUCGAAGGCCAGGGUAGCGAAAGGGAUUAGAUACCCCUGUAGUCCUGGCAGUAAACGGUGCACGCUUGGUGUGAGGGGAAUCGACCCCCCUUGUGCCGGAGCUAACGCGUUAAGCGUGCCGCCUGGGAAGUACGGUCGCAAGACUAAAACUCAAAGAAAUUGACGGGGACCCGCACAAGCGGUGGAGUAUGUGGCUUAAUUCGAUGCAACGCGAAGAACCUUACCAAGGCUUGACAUGGAUUUCUAAGCACGUGAAAGCGUGUGACCCUUCGGGGAACUUCCACAGGUGCUGCAUGGCCGUCGUCAGCUCGUGUCGUGAGAUGUUGGGUUAAGUCCCGCAACGAGCGCAACCCUUGUGACUAGUUGCCAGCACGUAAAGGUGGGAACUCUAGUCAGACUGCCCAGAUCAACUGGGAGGAAGGUGGGGACGACGUCAGGUCAGUAUGGCCCUUACGCCUUGGGCUGCACACGUACUACAAUGCCCAGCACAAUGAGAACCGAUGCCGCGAGGUGGAGGAAAUCUAUAAAACUGGGCCCAGUUCGGAUUGGAGGCUGCAACUCGCCUCCAUGAAGUUGGAAUCGCUAGUAAUGGCGCAUCAUCUACGGCGCCGUGAAUACGUUCCCGGGCCUUGUACACACCGCC
Molecule: ribosomal RNA, 1067 nt
Filed under: uncultured Verrucomicrobiales bacterium
Lineage: Bacteria; Pseudomonadati; Verrucomicrobiota; Verrucomicrobiia; Verrucomicrobiales
Description: bacterial SSU rRNA
Rfam family: Bacterial small subunit ribosomal RNA
Source: RNAcentral